Molecule: ribosomal RNA, 433 nt
Filed under: uncultured bacterium
Lineage: Bacteria
Description: partial 16S ribosomal RNA
Rfam family: Bacterial small subunit ribosomal RNA
Source: RNAcentral
AACGAACGCUGGCGGCAGGCCUAACACAUGCAAGUCGAGCGAGGACUUCGGUUCUAGCGGCGGACGGGUGAGUAACGCGUGGGAAUGUGCCCUUCUCUACGGAAUAGCCCUGGGAAACUGGGAGUAAUACCGUAUACGCCCUUUUGGGGAAAGAUUUAUCGGAGAAGGAUCAACCCGCGUUGGAUUAGGUAGUUGGUGGGGUAAUGGCCUACCAAGCCGACGAUCCAUAGCUGGUUUGAGAGGAUGAUCAGCCACACUGGGACUGAGACACGGCCCAGACUCCUACGGGAGGCAGCAGUGGGGAAUCUUAGACAAUGGGGGCAACCCUGAUCUAGCCAUGCCGCGUGAGUGAUGAAGGCCUUAGGGUUGUAAAGCUCUUUCAGCUGGGAAGAUAAUGACGGUACCAGCAGAAGAAGCCCCGGCUAACUCCGUG